CAGCAGCCGCGGGAAAACGGAGGGGGCUAGCGUUGUUCGGAAUUACUGGGCGUAAAGGGCGCGUAGGCGGAUUGUUUAGUUAGGCGUGAAAUUCCUGGGCUUAACCUGGGGACUGCGCUUAAUACAGGCAGUCUAGAGUGAGGAAGAGGGUUGUGGAAUUCCCAGUGUAGAGGUGAAAUUCGUAGAUAUUGGGAAGAACACCGGUGGCGAAGGCGGCAACCUGGUCCUUGACUGACGCUGAGGCGCGAAAGCGUGGGGAGCAAACAGGAUUAGAUACCCCAGUAGUCCCUGUCUCUUAUAC
Molecule: ribosomal RNA, 301 nt
Filed under: uncultured bacterium
Lineage: Bacteria
Description: partial 16S ribosomal RNA
Rfam family: Bacterial small subunit ribosomal RNA
Source: RNAcentral